UACGUAGGUGGCAAGCGUUGUCCGGAUUUACUGGGCGUAAAGGGCGUGCAGGCGGUCUGUUAAGUCUAGGGUGAAAGCUCCUGGCUCAACUGGGAGAGGUCCUUGGAUACUGGCGGACUUGAGGGAGGCAGAGGAAAGUGGAAUUCCCGGUGUAGUGGUGAUAUGCGUAGAUAUCGGGAGGAACACCAGUGGCGAAGGCAGCUCGCUGGGACGUUACUGACGCUGAGACGCGAAAGCGUGGGGAGCAAACAGG
This 253-nucleotide ribosomal RNA is filed under the name uncultured bacterium. RNAcentral's name for it is "partial 16S ribosomal RNA". It matches the Rfam family "Bacterial small subunit ribosomal RNA", at positions 524 to 776 of the family's 1533-position model. The record is from RNAcentral.